This 253-nucleotide ribosomal RNA is filed under the name uncultured bacterium. RNAcentral's name for it is "partial 16S ribosomal RNA". It matches the Rfam family "Bacterial small subunit ribosomal RNA", at positions 524 to 776 of the family's 1533-position model. The record is from RNAcentral.
UACGAAGGGGGCUAGCGUUGCUCGGAAUUACUGGGCGUAAAGCGCUCGUAGGCGGCUUUCUAAGUCAGGGGUGAAAUCCUGGAGCUCAACUCCAGAACUGCCUUUGGUACUGGGAAGCUUGAGUUCGGGAGAGGUGAGUGGAACUGCGAGUGUAGAGGUGAAAUUCGUAGAUAUUCGCAAGAACACCAGUGGCGAAGGCGGCUCACUGGCCCGAUACUGACGCUGAGGUGCGAAAGCGUGGGGAGCAAACAGG